RNAcentral lists this ribosomal RNA (162 nucleotides) under Ipomoea meyeri. Its description in RNAcentral is "5.8S ribosomal RNA". It matches the Rfam family "5.8S ribosomal RNA". Rfam says of the family: 5.8S ribosomal RNA (5.8S rRNA) is a component of the large subunit of the eukaryotic ribosome. It is transcribed by RNA polymerase I as part of the 45S precursor that also contains 18S and 28S rRNA. Functionally, it is thought that 5.8S rRNA may be involved in ribosome translocation. The record is from RNAcentral. Lineage: Eukaryota; Viridiplantae; Streptophyta; Magnoliopsida; Solanales; Convolvulaceae.
UACGACUCUCGGCAACGGAUAUCUCGGCUCUCGCAUCGAUGAAGAACGUAGCGAAAUGCGAUACUUGGUGUGAAUUGCAGAAUCCCGUGAACCAUCGAGUCUUUGAACGCAAGUUGCGCCCGAAGCCGUUAGGGCGAGGGCACGUCUGCCUGGGCGUCACGC